CCUACGGGUGGCAGCAGUCGGGAAUCUUCCGCAAUGGAGGAAACUCUGACGCAGUGACGCCGCGUAUAGGAAGAAGGUUUUCGGAUUGUAAACUAUUGUCGUUAGGGAAGAUAAGAGACUGUACCUAAGGAGUAAGACUCGGCUAACUCUGUACCAGAAGCCGCGGUAAAACAUAGGCGGCAAGCGUUAGCCGGAAUUAUUGGGGGUAAAGGGUGCGUAGACAGAGGACCAAGAUGGGUCUGAAAUCCCUCGGCUCAACCGAGGAACGGCCACCAAAACUAGUCGCCUGGAGUGUAGGGGAGGAAAGUGGAAUUCCAAGUGUAGCGGUGAAAUGCGUAGAUAUUUGGAGGAACACCAGUGGCGAAGGCGACUUUCUGGACGAUAACUGACGCUGAGGCGCGAAAGUGUGGGGAGCAAACAGGAUUAGAUACCCUUGUAGUC
This 441-nucleotide ribosomal RNA is filed under the name uncultured bacterium. RNAcentral's name for it is "partial 16S ribosomal RNA". It matches the Rfam family "Bacterial small subunit ribosomal RNA", at positions 338 to 795 of the family's 1533-position model. The record is from RNAcentral.